GUGAGGAAUAUUGCACAAUGGACGAAAGUCUGAUGCAGCGACGCCGCGUGGGUGACGAAGGCCUUCGGGUCGUAAAACCCUUUUGGCAGGGACGAGUGAGGACGGUACCUGCAGAAUAAGUCUCGGCUAACUACGUGCCAGCAGCCGCGGUAAAACGUAGGAGGCGAGCGUUAUCCGGAUUUACUGGGCGUAAAGCGUGCGUAGGCGGUUGGUCAAGUCAGAUGUUAAAGCCCCUGGCUCAACUGGGGGAGGUCAUUUGAUACUGAUCGGCUUGAGGGUGAGAGAGGAGAGUGGAAUUCCCGGUGUAGCGGUGGAAUGCGUAGAGAUCGGGAGGAACACCAGUGGCGAAAGCGGCUCUCUGGCUCACUUCUGACGCUGAGUGCACGAAAGCGUGGGUAGCAAACGGGAUUAGAAACCCCAGUAGUCC
Molecule: ribosomal RNA, 427 nt
Filed under: uncultured bacterium
Lineage: Bacteria
Description: bacterial SSU rRNA
Rfam family: Bacterial small subunit ribosomal RNA
Source: RNAcentral